GGUCCGCCGCGUGUUUGGAAGCCAUGGCGGUGCUUCUCCGUGCUGUGGGCCCUGGGAAGCCUCGGGCUUUCGGUGAUGGCCUACCCUUGGUUUCUGCUGGGACCACAAGAAGCCAGGCUGCAGGUUCCAUCUUAAUAAAUGGACCUCUAAGAGUAAAAGUGGAUGCAAGCAGCACCCACCUGAGUGGGCACCAGAAAUGAGAAGGCCAUGGGGCAGUGGCUUAUCUACUUGGCUCUGAAGCUAAGAUCAACUGAAUGCACAUUGACACCGAGGUCUGGUUAAGAUUGAAGGUAUUGGCUGUGGACGAUGUGAAAUACAUUGAGCUUAUGGAUCUUCCUGAUGACGUUUCUUUCUUCUCUUCAGGUACAGGCUGGUUCCUGAGGCUGAAAUGGAUCUAGCGGCCAUGCUGGCAGCCUUCCUGCACCUGGGCGUCGACUUGGCUCCAAAGUGGAAGCUGUCUCCCAGGAUCGCUAGGGCUCCGGUGCUGCUGCAUCCCGCAGAAAGAUUCAUCAAAGAACCCCUGGGUUUGAUCUUCAGAAGUAGCCAAGGAAUUCGAGUGACAGAUCAUCCCAGAAACCCUUUGGCAGUUCAUAAAAUCAGGGUGUUCUUAAGAACAUGUGUGCUGUGUUGGGGAAAGAGAUGCAUGACCUAGAAAAACAUUUUAUCAAAAGUGGAUUUCUUGGGAUGGAGAGAUGUUGUUAAGUGGUUAAAGCACUUGCCCUGAAAGCCUGAGGAUCCAGGUUUGAUUUCCCAGAACCUGUGUAAACCAGAUGCAUAUGAUGGUGCAUGCUUCUGGAGU
Jaculus jaculus (lesser Egyptian jerboa) is the source of this 799-nucleotide long non-coding RNA. RefSeq lists it as uncharacterized. NCBI's taxonomy places the organism in Eukaryota, Metazoa, Chordata, Mammalia, Rodentia, Dipodidae. The transcript is spliced from 5 exons. The record is from RefSeq and is a predicted model, not a curated record.